This 468-nucleotide ribosomal RNA is filed under the name uncultured bacterium. Its description in RNAcentral is "partial 16S ribosomal RNA". It matches the Rfam family "Bacterial small subunit ribosomal RNA", at positions 28 to 507 of the family's 1533-position model. The record is from RNAcentral.
GACGAACGCUGGCGGCGUGCUUAACACAUGCAAGUCGAACGGAAAGGCCCUGCUUUUGUGGGGUGCUCGAGUGGCGAACGGGUGAGUAACACGUGAGUCACCUGCCCUUGACUUUGGGAUAACUUCAGGAAACUGGCGCUUAUACCGUAUAGGCUCUCCUGCUGCGGGGUGGGGGUUGGAGAGUUUCGGCGGUUGGGGAUGGACUCGCGGCUUAUCAGCUUGUUGGUGGGGUAGUGGCUUACCAAGGCUUUGACGGGUAGCCGGCCUGAGAGGGUGACCGGCCACAUUGGGACUGAGAUACGGCCCAGACUCCUACGGGAGGCAGCAGUGGGGAAUAUUGCACAAUGGGCGGAAGCCUGAUGCAGCAACGCCGCGUGCGGGAUGACGGCCUUCGGGUUGUAAACCGCUUUCGCCUGUGACGAAGCGUGAGUGACGGUAAUGGGUAAAGAAGCACCGGCUAACUACGUG